Molecule: transfer RNA, 72 nt
Filed under: Fukomys damarensis (Damara mole-rat)
Lineage: Eukaryota; Metazoa; Chordata; Mammalia; Rodentia; Bathyergidae
Rfam family: tRNA
About the family: Transfer RNA (tRNA) molecules are approximately 80 nucleotides in length. Their secondary structure includes four short double-helical elements and three loops (D, anti-codon, and T loops).
Source: Rfam by way of RNAcentral
GGGGGUGUACUUCAGGGGUAGAGCACUUGCCUAGCAUGUGUGAGGCCCUGGGUUCAAUCCUCAGCACCGCCA